Long non-coding RNA from Brassica napus (rape), 8239 nucleotides. RefSeq lists it as uncharacterized. Lineage: Eukaryota; Viridiplantae; Streptophyta; Magnoliopsida; Brassicales; Brassicaceae. The transcript is spliced from 7 exons. The record is from RefSeq and is a predicted model, not a curated record.
AAAUACAUAGAAGAAGAAAAAUGACGCAAGAUAACCAUGGAGAGCUUGCUAGGGAAGACAAAGUACAAUUCAUCCUGAGUUUUAUGAUAGAAGAAGCCGAUAAAUCGUGAAAUCAAGGUGGCUUUGGAUGAAAAAAAAACUCGGGAUCUUAGAAUGAAAGAUUUGUGCAAAUUUUGAAUUAGGGUGUUAAAUGGAAAGAGUAUAGAACACUCAAGUGAUAGUGGGUAGUUAUAUUUUCUUAAAGCAUUUUUGUUUCAAUAUUAUCUUGUCUUAAUUUUUUUUUUAAACUGUAAACAAUAAUUAUUCGACAGAAUUAAAUGUUUGUAGAUCACACAAUUUGAAAUAUCUCACCUUCGAAUAAGGGUAAUUGUCGAUGAAGACAAAUGAUUAUAAGAGUUUUGAAAAGUGCAAGUAUUAUCUGGUUUUAUUAUAAUUUAUAGAGGAGAAGGAAAAUAUGGCAAAAUAUAUAAGCUAAUGUAAAUUAUUUUAUUUAGAGAAAAAUUAGGAAGUGAGCAGUUGAAUAUUUUGGAGUGCGUUACAUCAUCAGACACAUUGUUCUCUUUUUUGACAAGAUAGGGGACUUCUCACUUGAGGGACACAUUGUCCUCUUCCACCCCUUGUGGUUUUACAGCUGUAUCCCUCACGCUUGGUUAAGAGAAACUAGAGGAUGGCUGCAUUUUUUUAUUUUAUUUAUUUUUUUCUCAACUUUUUCUUUGUUCUUUUUGCAAAGUUCUUAUGUUUUUAUUUGUUUUUUUCUCAGAGUUUAAGACAUUUGAAGAAAGUAUAAUUAUUACAAUAAAUUGUAAUUUGUUUUUCUCUAUAUUUUAACAUCCAUUUUCAUAUAUAUAUUUUAUAUAUUUCAACAAUUAUAUAAAAAAAUGUAUGGACAUAAGAAGUGUGGAUGCAAAAUUGUGAACAUGUAAGAAAAAUACGUAAACAUAAAAAGAUGUGGAUAUGGAUGGAUAAAAAAUAUAGAAAAUCUCUUUAAAAUUUUCGUGGAUGAGGUUUCAUGAACUAAGUUUCAUGGAUGUGUUUUCUUGGACAAGUUCUUAUAUUCCUAAUCAUCUUACAUAAUUUCUUAGUAUCUGUGGAGAAGUACUUUAUGCAUACCGUGUAGUUUUUAUGUACAUGUAUUUUGUGUAAGCCACUUUGGUGAACAAAUGGGUGUGGACAUGAAUAAUAAAAGUUUGGUCGUUAAAAAAUAUGGACAUGGACAAAACAAAUAUGAAAAAUGUGAAAAGAUAGUAGUACCCGAACAUAGAAUAGUGAAUUAUAUGGAUAAAUUCAUAUAUAUGUACAGUUUUGUGUGGACAUAUAAAUUUGGAUAUUCAAUCCUAAAAAUACACCUUGAACAUGUUUGUGUGAACGUAAGAUAGAGGGAGAUCUAGUUUAAAGUUUAAAAUCUUCCAAAGUUUUGUUGGGGUCAAAUUGAAAAUAGUCAAAAUUUAAAGGUGUAUCCUCAGUUCGCUUGCGAGACUUUCGUCAUGUUCAAUAAGAUGAGAAACGAUUUAUUCUAGAAUUGAUUCCAUAAGCUGUAACAGAAAGCACUUAAAGAACAACAACAAGAUCUUCAGAGUAAUCUUCGUUUUUUUUUUUGAGUUCUUCGAUUUCGUCAUGGUGACAGAGGAUGACAAAAAUUAAAGAAAAUUGGAAACUUGCAGAGAUAGAAAGAUUAGGAAAGAGAGAACCGAUAGAAGAUGGAAGAGAAAAAAUAGAUCUGAAAAUUGAUAGUGGGAGAGAGAAAAAGAAAUGAAUUUACAAAUUAGAAAUUUUUAUUAUUUUAUGAUACAUAAAGUAAUUAGAAAAGAGUGUAUUUGAGGGGUAGGUAAGACAUUCCACACAGAUAAUAUGUGCCUCCAAGCUCAAGUGUCUGAAUGUGUUAUUCCAAAGAUAUAACGUGUGGGUAAAAAUUUCAAUAUUUUGACUGCAGAGAAAUAGGAGAUGAAAAGAUUUUUUUUUAUUUAACUUUUUACAAAAUUUCGUCGCAUGUCAAAAUCUGAUUCACAAAAUGAUCACACUACUCGGACACAACCCAAAAUCAACUAACCAAAUACCCAAUAGAAAAUUAGAUUCAGCUGGAAAAGAGGAUGAAAAUCAAACUCCAUGCCAUAUAGAAGAAAUAAAAUCGUGAAAGACUUCAACUUUACAGAACCCAACACACAAACUUGAGUAUUCUCCAGAUCCAUUCCACAAACCAUUGAAACCAGUAAUUCUACCUUUUCAACUAAGGAUAGCUAAAUAUAACGAAGAACAUGGCGAACGAAGGCGAUGAUUUCAGUAAAUGUUGAGACGGCUAAAAGGUUAUAUGUUACGGAUCUUAAGGAAGAACACAAUGAAGACAAAACUCAAAACUUCAAUUAACGAGAUCUUAGAAAUUCAAAAAGGAAUCUUGUCGAUCUGAUCGACGGGAUGUCCGCUUGGACAUGCUGCCGGAAAUUUGAAAUCGGCACCGAUAUUGUCGUAGAUUGGAGAUUUGAGGAUGUGUCUCAAGGUGAUUGAGAAGAAAGUAAGUUUGUGGAGGUUUCGCCUGCUGUCGAGAAGAAAAUGGGGAAAAUCUGAAAUAUUAGAGGGAUAAGGAUUUAGUUGAAUUGCAAUUGAGAACAGACUCAGUUCCGUUCCGUUUCAUUUAGUUUAGGGUUUAUAGUGUCUUUUCUCUCUCUAGAAGUGUGUCGCCAGCGGUUUGUGUCCUAAGGUGUAAUUGCAAAGUGGAAAAAUGUCCGAGGGUGUAAAAAAAUUCUUAAGAGAAACGCGAGUAGUGCUUUGAUUUGGGUCACAUGUGUUAAAUGUGCCGGAUUUGAACUGAAAAUACGGUCGAGGGGUUGUUUGUAAAAGUAAAUAUAUUUAACAAAGGAAAGCAGAAGCCCUAUAACUUUACACCCACGUAUUCUGCAGAACAAAGAUGGUGAUGAAGUUUUCGCAAGGGAUUUUCGCCAAGGUAAGCAAGGUUUAAUCUUUUAUUCCGGAUCCUCCCUCCGAUUUCUCUAUUCGUUAUUUUAGUAUAUUGUCUGUGUCGUCCAGAUUUGGGGAUUUCAUCCAUUGCCUCUCCCCCCCCAUGUUCUCGAGGGUCAAGCAUGCUUUAGCUUUCUCGAAAAUUUAUGGAUACUGCUAUAUAGCGGCCUUUGGUGGUGCUGGAUUCCUGCUCGGUGGUGUGACAACAAGCCCCGUCUCAAAGGGGCUUCGGGAAAAUGAAAAGCUUUUCGUUUGAAGGUCUCCAACGUCUGGAAAAAAUGGAGGCCAGGAGAGGGAAGUGGACUGCCUCUCUUAAAGAGGAAACAAAGUGAUGGUAAUUGGUUGCGUCUGUUUGUUUCUGUUUCGUUUUUGUUUUUGAUGAACACAUUAUGUAAUAACUACUACUUCAUGGUUGUGGCUUUAAAUUUUAUAUCUUAAGCUAAGAGAGAGAGAGGAAAUUACAUUAUUUUUUUAACAUCAGCGGUAUUGUACCUUAGCAAUCAAGAUUAGCAUAGAGCAUGUACGCAUAUUAUAAAAGUCAAUUGGGGUUUUGGGAUCUUGCCAUAAAGAAUAUGAUGUAAAAAUGAAAAAACAAUACAAAUGAGCCAUCUGCAUAUAAAGCAUGAUAUAUAACACAACUAUAAAACUACGAAGAUGAUAAUUGAUAAGUCACUAUAAAAACGCUCAUGGUAGGAGACAACAGCACACAAUCAUCGAUCUCUCUCUUACAUUCAUCACUGUAAUAACUUUAAACACAAAUGACAACUUCAUCUGAAUCAACUCGCAAGGUUGGUUAGUAAGAAGCCUAUUGUAAAGAUUCAACAACAAUGUUCUCCGCUGACUCAUGGUCUGGAUAUUGUUCCCACUGUGAUGAUCUUCAGCACUUGGUGCCUCAACCGCGGCACCUUCUUUGCAAGAGACUUGGGGAUAUCGAGAUCAUCUUGAGCAUUAACAAUAACAGAAUUAUUUAUGCUAUAUAAACCGUCACUCUCAUAGCAUGUAUGCUUCCACAAUACUUUGGUUUGGGUCAUUUGUGUAUAAUGAGCCGGUUUUGGAUUCAGAAUCUUAGUUGGAUACAAUCAGAUUUAAAGGUAAAAUUAGCAAAAAUACACUUGAGCAUUAUUAAGUAAUGAUUUCAUAACAAUAAAAAAUUGAAAAGGCGCAUUUAAAAAAAAAGUAAUUAAAAUCGUUAAUAUUAAAAUUAAAAUAAGAAAAUUCGCUUAGAACAAAGUAGUAUUUAUGAAUGGCUUUACUAAAUUUUCAUUAUAUGAAAAAAAAUUGCUAAGAAAACAGAGUUUGUUUCCAAGAAAUUUUAUAAAAACUUAAAAGUACAAACAUGAUCAAUUUGUAGAGUUAAAAUACAUAGAGGAUAUAUUUAUUACAAAAAUCGAUUCAAUGAAUUUAAGAGAUACUGCUUUGAUUUGGGCCACAAGUAAAUAAACAUUACAAAGGAAAGCAGAAACCCUAGUUUUACACCCAAAGGAAGGACUCAACGGAACAAAAAAUGAUGAUGAAGCACGCGCAAACGAUUUUGGCCAAGGUUAAGCUAAGAAUUAUUAUUUCAUUCCGGAUCCCCCUCUCGAUUUCUCUAUUCGUGAUUGUAGUAUUGUCUGUGUCGCCGAGAUAUGCAGUAUUGUCGGAAAGGGAUUUCAUCCAUCGCCUCUUCCCCCCUGUCCUCGAGGGUCAAGCAUGCUUGGGAGGAGCAGGACAAAUUAGUUCUUGGUUUAGCGUUUAUUGGUGGAUGGUUUAGCAAAGCUCUCAUAAAUGUUUACAAGAGAAGAGAGGAUUGGUAUAGAAUACACAGAUUCCUCGAUGCUGAGAAAAAGCGUAUUGAAGAGACACGUGCCCUUAUUCGAAAGGAAAUGAAGAAAUUGAAGGAACUGGAUGUUUGAUGUCUAGGCUGCAAUUUAUUGUCUUUUGUUUUGGGUUGUUUGGUGUUUUAUCUGCACUCUCUCUCGUACUACUCUAAUGGUGGCUUGCUUCUUGUCUUGUGUUCGUUUGGUGUUUUGAAACUGUUUUAUUUUCAUCCCCUAUAUAUGUUGCCACUUGCAAACCUACGCUACUUUUUUUUUAUACGUCGUUGUAUCUCUGACAAAACAAUUUUUUUUACCAUGGUGCUUUGAAAAAAGAAUUUCUUUACUUUUCAUUUGUGGUUGAACUACAAAAUAAGGAGCUUCAUUUGUGGUUGAACUACAAAAUAAGGAGCUACAUCACAUCAUCGAAAAGAAGAAGCAAGUGUUUCAUUGUUAUCAAUCUUACAGUUUCCUACAACAAUAAUAUAAAUUUUUUUAUCAAUAUAAAUCUAGAUAUCAAAUUUUUCUCGGUGUCCAUAUUUUAAAGAUUCUAUUACGUAUUCGCUAUAGAUGGAAAGAACAAUGUGAAAGAAGAUGACAAGGACCUCCAACUAUGCUCAACCAUACGUAAAUACUCUUUAUAUAAUUGUUAUUGUAAUACUAUAUAUAAUGAAAUUUUGAACUUAUUAUUGUAUAGUUAAUAACAUCAAAUACUUUCACUUUAAAAAAACAAACAUCAAAUACUGUAGUUUGAUCACUACGUAAGGAUUCGUCAAAUAUUAGCAUAUGUGUUUUUCGGCUGUAAAACUUUGGCCGUAAAAUCUUAGCUCUAGAUUUUCUUUUUAAAGCACGAUUGGUAUACAUUAGCUGUAGAUUAGUAUUAUAUAUAUAUAUUAAACAACAUACUAAUAGAAACAAAAUAAAACUUAUAAUAAUAAUAAUUUUACUGAAUAAAUAAAAAUAAAGAAUUCUAAAAAAAAAACCAUUUAAAAAAAAGUAAAAAAAAAACUUUUAAUAUAAUAAUAAAUCAAUAGCUAGUCUAUCCACGAGUAUUCCAUAAAUCCAUUGCAAUGGUGGUGCGUUGGUUGCACCAACAUUGUUUUCACCAUUGUUAUUUGCCAUAUCUUACAAAUAUUAUUAAAAUGUAUAUUAAAUUAGAUCAAAUAUAACCAUACUUAAAAAGAAUUGAAAAAUACGAGAGGAAAAGAUAGUUAAAAACUAGAAGAAAUAAUAGUUCAUGCUCUAAUGACUACAACAAACAAUCUAAUAUACAAUUUAAAAACUAGUUCAUAAUCAAAUUAAUAUGACACGAACAUAAAAGAAAACCAGAUGAACUUGUGUAAUAUUAAGCGUAACAUAUUAUUGGUUUUCUUUUCCAUGGAACUAGUGUUCAUAAUCAAAUUUCAUCGUACAUCAAUAACAUAAAAGAAGACCAGAUACGAUAACAUAAAAGAAGACGAAGAGAUGGGUUACGUACCUUCUUGUUGCCUCUUCUUAUUCUUCUUGUUCUCUCUGGAUUUUUUUGGCUCUCUUACGUAGGUAGUAUAUAUAUGUUUACAACUAGGGCUUUUAGUUUUAGUGUUUAUCUCAGGUUUCGUUAGUGUUUAUCUUAUUUUUUGAAUAAAAGUUAAAUAAAAUAUUCAUUUUUUCUUUUGGAAAGCUCACAAAACUGAGCCGUAGAGAAUUUGCUUUUCAGAGCCGUAAACUAAAGCAAAAUAUGGAUUUGGCUGUGAGUUUUAAAAAGAUAACCAGAGCAUGAUUGUUUUGAUUUUGGGGCUGUAGAGAGAUUUGAAGCUGUCUAGAGCACUCACGGCACUUACCAAUCACCCCCUGUAUAUAGGGGUUGAUUGGUAACUGCUGUGAUUUCAUUUUUUGACUUUAGAAAUAUUGCUGUGGUUUUUAUUGCUUUGGCUUUAGAUUUUUAAUUUUUAAAAGUCUUUAAAUAUGGGCUGUAGGUUUUUGUCUCUGCAGAGAAAUUGUAAAGACAUAAUUUCAAAGAAGUGCUGUGGAUUUUAUAAAAAGGCUGUGAACUUAAAAAAAAAUAGAAAUCAAGAUUGGUGUAGAUUUAGUGCUCUAGAAAGAAAUGAGGCUGUAGAGAGCACUCACAGCCACUACCAAUCACACCCAUAAUGAAAUUAUGAAUACUGUACUUUGAUCACUACGUAAGGAUUCGUCACUACGUAACGUAGUUUGAUCACUACGUAAUUUUGAAUACUGUAGUUUGAAAUUUUGUCGAAUACUACAUCAAAUACUGUAGUUUGAUACCUACGUAAGGAUUCUUCGAAUACUAUAUAUAAUGAAAUUUUGAACUUAUUAUUGUAUAGUUAAUAACAUUGAAUAUUCGUCGAAUACUAGUUUACUAAUACAUUUAUUUUUUCUGUAUUCAUAUAGGAAACUUACACACUAGGAUGAUGAUUUUGGCAAUGUUUUGGAAAAGAAGGAAAUAUUAUAAAAACCUAAUAGAUUUGACUCGUGCAAGGCACGGGAGUAAUACUAGUUAAUCAUAAAUUUGGAACCAAGAUCCUCAAUCUCGAAAACCCUAGACUCUCCAAUUCGACGAGGACAAAAGAAGAUGUUGCGUUUCCUGGGAAACACAUUGGCUAAGUCUUGUGGCAAGGGGAGGCUACAGUAUCGUGAUUUUUCAUCCGUGAGUGAUCAGAAAGCUGUCUCGAAAUUUUAUGGAUACUGCUUUAAAACGGUCUUUGGUGGUGCUGGAUUCCUGCUCGGUAUGUGGUUUGUAAGCUUUUUUUUUUAAUUAUUAUUAUUAUUAUUUAUUUUGGUUUCAAUAGAAACAAUCUUCUUCAUAAAACUCUGUUGUUUGGGUUUUUCUUCAAAGGGACUUCGGCAACUUGAACAGGUAAAUAGCGUGGUUAAACUGUUAAAAGUCUUUUCUUCUUUCUUUCUUUCUAAUCUUCCCUAUAUAAUUCCUCUUCUCGUUUUUUUGUCAGGUUUACAUCGAAGAAAUGCCAAAUGCGGAUGAAAUAGAGGCCAGGGUGGCCAAGUUGAUUACCUUGAGAGAGGAAUUAAUGAAGUGAUGGUAUUUGGUUGGGUCUGUCUGCUUGUUUCUGUUCUGUCUUUGUUUGCUGUCGUUUUUGAACAUUAUCUGCCAAUCAAUGUAAUGACUUACUUCAUGAUUGUGUUAUAUGUGGGCUUAGAUAAAGAUCCAACCCUUUAAAUCCUUUCCUAAGUACAAAGCUGAGAGAUGGUGAGAGAUUGGCAAUCCAACUAGGUACUUGUAUAAAUCGUCUCCCGUCAGUUCCCCUUAGGGAUGUUAAAAUGGUAAAAUCCAACUCAUUUAAACCCACCCCGUUUAAGACCCACCCCAUUUAAAAUCCAUAUCCGUUUAGAUCCAUUUAAAAAUAGAUCUAUUAGGUGUACCCAUUUAGAUCCACAAAUUUUGUACAAACCCAUUUAGGUGAUGAUUGUUUGUUUGGUUUCUAGUUUUUGGAUUUUGGUUUUUGGUUUUUAAUUUUUAGUUUUUGGAUUUUAGAUUUUGG